GACGAACGCUGGCGGCGUGCUUAACACAUGCAAGUCGAACGGAAAGGCCCUGCUUUGGUGGGGUGCUGGAGUGGCGAACGGGUGAGUAACCCGUGGGUAACGUGCCCUUGACUUUGGGAUAACUUAAGGAAGCUGGGGCUAAUACCGGAUAGGAGCUCCUGCUGCAUGGUGGGGGUUGGAAAGUUUCGGCGGUUGGGGAUGGAAUCGCGUCUUAUCAGGUUGUUGGUGGGGUAGUGGCUUACCAAGGCUUGGACGCGUAGCCGGGCUGAGAAGGUGAGCUGCCCAAUUAGACUUGAGAUGAGACACAGCCUCGUCCGGGAGGCAGCAGAGCGGAAUAUUGCAUAAGGCGCGGAACCCUGAUGCAGCCACGCCGUGCGCGGGGUGACGGCCUUGGCGUAGUAAACCGCUUCUGCCUGUCACGAAACGUUAGUGACGGUAAUGGGUAAAGAAGCACCGGCUAACUACGUG
This 468-nucleotide ribosomal RNA is filed under the name uncultured bacterium. RNAcentral's name for it is "partial 16S ribosomal RNA". It matches the Rfam family "Bacterial small subunit ribosomal RNA", at positions 28 to 507 of the family's 1533-position model. The record is from RNAcentral.